This 723-nucleotide ribosomal RNA is filed under the name Aspergillus niger. RNAcentral describes it as "eukaryotic LSU rRNA". The stretch from base 189 to 342 matches the Rfam family "5.8S ribosomal RNA". The record is from RNAcentral. Lineage: Eukaryota; Fungi; Ascomycota; Eurotiomycetes; Eurotiales; Aspergillaceae.
GGGCUUCGGGUGCGGGUCUUUGGGCCACCUCCCAUCCGUGUCUAUUGUACCCUGUUGCUUCGGCGGGCCCGCCGCUUGUCGGCCGCCGGGGGGGCGCCUCUGCCCCCCGGGCCCGUGCCCGCCGGAGACCCCAACACGAACACUGUCUGAAAGCGUGCAGUCUGAGUUGAUUGAAUGCAAUCAGUUAAAACUUUCAACAAUGGAUCUCUUGGUUCCGGCAUCGAUGAAAAACGCAGCGAAAUGCGAUAACUAAUGUGAAUUGCAGAAUUCAGUGAAUCAUCGAGUCUUUGAACGCACAUUGCGCCCCCUGGUAUUCCGGGGGGCAUGCCUGUCCGAGCGUCAUUGCUGCCCUCAAGCCCGGCUUGUGUGUUGGGUCGCCGUCCCCCUCUCCGGGGGAACGGGCCCGAAAGGCAGCCGCGGCACCGCGUCCGAUCCUCGAGCGUAUGGGGCUUUGUCACAUGCUCUGUAGGAUUGGCCGGCGCCUGCCGACGUUUUCCAACCAUUCUUUCCAGGUUGACCUCGGAUCAGGUAGGGAUACCCGCUGAACUUAAGCAUAUCAAUAAGCGGAGGAAAUUCCGAGUGCGGGUCCUUUGGGCCCACCUCAUCUUAUCUAUUGUACCCUGAUUGCUUCGCGGCCGCACUUGUUAGCGCGGGAGAGGCCCUCUGCCCCCGGGCCUGCCCCCCGAAACCAAAACAAAAAUGUUUUAAACCUGCAUCGAAUUU